GCGCUCGUAGCUCAAUUGGAUAGAGCGCCUGACUACGGAUCAGGAGGUUAGGGGUUCGACUCCCUUCGAGCGUG
Molecule: transfer RNA, 74 nt
Filed under: Roseibacillus ishigakijimensis
Lineage: Bacteria; Pseudomonadati; Verrucomicrobiota; Verrucomicrobiia; Verrucomicrobiales; Verrucomicrobiaceae
Also listed under: 3 other names
Rfam family: tRNA
About the family: Transfer RNA (tRNA) molecules are approximately 80 nucleotides in length. Their secondary structure includes four short double-helical elements and three loops (D, anti-codon, and T loops).
Source: Rfam by way of RNAcentral